UAGCAACACCUCCAUCUAUGGGCUGUUGUGAUGAUGGUAUGACGUAACAGGCCCCUUGCCUUAAAGGUGUUCUCUCUAAAAUGUGUCUUAUUUCAGGCCAUCAGCCCAGGAAGCACCCUUAAAAAUAGUCAUAAUUUACUUAUUGUGGUUCUACAAAUGCCUCAGUACAUCAUCCUAAUUGACAACAAUGUUCUGCUCUUGAUGAAGAUUUCCUGGAGCCAGGGAUGGAUGUCUGGUUCUGUGCUAAAAAUAUGACAAGGUUCUGGGUCAAUGAGAAUGAGAAACCCAGUGUUCGGGAGAGAGGAGGCAGCUGAAAUGAGCCUGCAUCUCUACAAAGGAAAAUGCAGCCCAGGUCCUCUGAUGCAGAGAAGUUAGUGUUCUUCGGGACAAGGUGAAAAAUAGGCGGCUGGUGUAGGGAGCUGAGGACUGGACAUCCAGGUAGGAUGCUUCUACAUCAAUAACCACAGAUAAUUCCACACAGAGUCCUGCUCAGGACACAGCAUCUAAUGCAUCUGUGAGCUGGGGCUCAGAUCUGGGGCUCAGAGCCAGCUCUGUGUGACCUGUGGCUUCUGCCACACCCAUCAGCCUGCUCCACUCUUCAGGAUCCUCUUUCCAAUCUUCUCAUCAGAAGCAGAGGCCUUGGGAACUCAUGAGUGUUGACAUAUUUUCAAAGCCCAUCUGAGUGCUCUUACUGGACUCUUCAACUGAUUUUUUUGGCAAUAAUAAUAGUAACAUUAUAGUUGUAGUAAGUUGUAGCUUACAUAGUACUUCCUAUGUCAUGAGACAUUCUAAGCACUUUCUUUG
RNAcentral lists this long non-coding RNA (804 nucleotides) under Homo sapiens (human). Its description in RNAcentral is "HSALNT0314995". Lineage: Eukaryota; Metazoa; Chordata; Mammalia; Primates; Hominidae. The record is from RNAcentral.